RNAcentral lists this unclassified non-coding RNA (319 nucleotides) under uncultured fungus. Its description in RNAcentral is "sequence contains ITS1". The stretch from base 1 to 105 matches the Rfam family "5.8S ribosomal RNA", at positions 50 to 154 of the family's 154-position model. The record is from RNAcentral. Lineage: Eukaryota; Fungi.
CAAAUGCGAUAAAUAGUGCGAACUGCAGAUAUUCUGAGCACUAAGAUUUCGAAUGCACAUUGCGCCAUUGGGCUUCUGUCCUUUGGUACAUCUGGUUCAGGGUCGUAUAUACACAAAACACAUUGUUGUCUUGCAUUAACGGAUAAAUCGCGGGUGGAUAUUCUCACGCGUUUUACUGCUAUGCUGCCUGCAUGUGGUUGUUUGCUAUUUUGUUGCUCUUGUCUUGUUGUAGCUUCGAAAUCAGUAGCAAUCAUCAUUGCGCCAAAAGGCAUCCAAUCUAUUCGACCUGAACUCAGUUGUGACUACCCGCUGAACUUAA